CGGACCUGGCGGCGACCGUGCAAACGGGUGAGGAACAUGUACGCAACCUUCCUUUAACUGGAGAAUAGCCCCUCGAAAGAGGGAUUAAUACUCCGUAACAUAAUGAUAAGGCAUCUUAUUAUUAUUAUAGCUUCGGCGGUUAGAGAUGGGCGUGCACCUGAUUAGAUAGUUGGCGGGGUAACGGCCCACCAAGUCUGCGAUCAGUAAUUGGUGUGAGAGCACGACCAGUCACACGGGCACUGAGACACGGGCCCGACUCCUACGGGAGGCAGCAGUAAGGAAUAUGGGUCUAUGGACGCAAGUCUGAACCAGCCACGCCGCGUGGAGGAUUAAGGCCCUCUGGGUUGUAAACUCCUUU
Molecule: ribosomal RNA, 358 nt
Filed under: uncultured bacterium
Lineage: Bacteria
Description: bacterial SSU rRNA
Rfam family: Bacterial small subunit ribosomal RNA
Source: RNAcentral